RNAcentral lists this ribosomal RNA (580 nucleotides) under Escherichia coli. Its description in RNAcentral is "partial 23S ribosomal RNA". It matches the Rfam family "Bacterial large subunit ribosomal RNA", at positions 165 to 786 of the family's 2925-position model. Lineage: Bacteria; Pseudomonadati; Pseudomonadota; Gammaproteobacteria; Enterobacterales; Enterobacteriaceae. The record is from RNAcentral.
CAUAGGUUAAUGAGGCGAACCGGGGGAACUGAAACAUCUAAGUACCCCGAGGAAAAGAAAUCAACCGAGAUUCCCCCAGUAGCGGCGAGCGAACGGGGAGCAGCCCAGAGCCUGAAUCAGUGUGUGUGUUAGUGGAAGCGUCUGGAAAGGCGCGCGAUACAGGGUGACAGCCCCGUACACAAAAAUGCACAUACUGUGAGCUCGAUGAGUAGGGCGGGACACGUGGUAUCCUGUCUGAAUAUGGGGGGACCAUCCUCCAAGGCUAAAUACUCCUGACUGACCGAUAGUGAACCAGUACCGUGAGGGAAAGGCGAAAAGAACCCCGGCGAGGGGAGUGAAAAAGAACCUGAAACCGUGUACGUACAAGCAGUGGGAGCACGCUUAGGCGUGUGACUGCGUACCUUUUGUAUAAUGGGUCAGCGACUUAUAUUCUGUAGCAAGGUUAACCGAAUAGGGGAGCCGAAGGGAAACCGAGUCUUAACUGGGCGUUAAGUUGCAGGGUAUAGACCCGAAACCCGGUGAUCUAGCCAUGGGCAGGUUGAAGGUUGGGUAACACUAACUGGAGGACCGAACCGACUAA